UGGGGAAUAUUGGACAAUGGGGGCAACCCUGAUCCAGCCAUGCCGCGUGAGUGAUGAAGGCCCUAGGGUUGUAAAGCUCUUUUGUGCGGGAAGAUAAUGACGGUACCGCAAGAAUAAGCCCCGGCUAACUUCGUGCCAGCAGCCGCGGUAAUACGAAGGGGGCUAGCGUUGCUCGGAAUCACUGGGCGUAAAGGGUGCGUAGGCGGGUUUCUAAGUCAGAGGUGAAAGCCUGGAGCUCAACUCCAGAACUGCCUUUGAUACUGGAAGUCUUGAGUAUAGCAGAGAUGAGUGGAACUGCGAGUGUAGAGGUGAAAUUCGUAGAUAUUCGCAAGAACACCAGUGGCGAAGGCGGCUCACUGGGCCAUUACUGACGCUGAGGCACGAAAGCGUGGGGAGCAAAACAGGAUUAGAUACCCUGGUAGUCCACGCCGUAAACGAUGAAUGCCAGCCGUUAGUGGGUUUUACUCACUAGUGGCGCAGCUAACGCUUUAAGCAUUCCGCCUGGGGAGUACGGUCGCAAGAUUAAAACUCAAAGGAAUUGACGGGGUCAUAGCUGUUUCCU
RNAcentral lists this ribosomal RNA (562 nucleotides) under uncultured bacterium. RNAcentral's name for it is "partial 16S ribosomal RNA". It matches the Rfam family "Bacterial small subunit ribosomal RNA", at positions 355 to 1375 of the family's 1533-position model. The record is from RNAcentral.